RNAcentral lists this ribosomal RNA (682 nucleotides) under uncultured bacterium. Its description in RNAcentral is "bacterial SSU rRNA". It matches the Rfam family "Bacterial small subunit ribosomal RNA", at positions 8 to 685 of the family's 1533-position model. The record is from RNAcentral.
AGAGUUUGAUCCUGGCUCAGAUUGAACGCUGGCGGCAUGCCUUACACAUGCAAGUCGAACGGCAGCGCGGGAGCAAUCCUGGCGGCGAGUGGCGAACGGGUGAGUAAUACAUCGGAACGUGCCCAAUCGUGGGGGAUAACGCAGCGAAAGCUGUGCUAAUACCGCAUAAGAUCUACGGAUGAAAGCAGGGGAUCGCAAGACCUUGCGCGAAUGGAGCGGCCGAUGGCAGAUUAGGUAGUUGGUGAGGUAAAGGCUCACCAAGCCUUCGAUCUGUAGCUGGUCUGAGAGGACGACCAGCCACACUGGGACUGAGACACGGCCCAGACUCCUACGGGAGGCAGCAGUGGGGAAUUUUGGACAAUGGGCGCAAGCCUGAUCCAGCCAUGCCGCGUGCAGGAUGAAGGCCUUCGGGUUGUAAACUGCUUUUGUACGGAACGAAAAGUCUCUUUCUAAUAAAGAGGGAUCAUGACGGUACCGUAAGAAUAAGCACCGGCUAACUACGUGCCAGCAGCCGCGGUAAUACGUAGGGUGCAAGCGUUAAUCGGAAUUACUGGGCGUAAAGCGUGCGCAGGCGGUUAUGUAAGACAGUUGUGAAAUCCCCGGGCUCAACCUGGGAACUGCAUCUGUGACUGCAUAGCUAGAGUACGGUAGAGGGGGAUGGAAUUCCGCGUGUAGCAGUGAA